Molecule: long non-coding RNA, 205 nt
Organism: Prunus avium (sweet cherry)
Lineage: Eukaryota; Viridiplantae; Streptophyta; Magnoliopsida; Rosales; Rosaceae
Source: RefSeq, a predicted model, not a curated record
CCUCAUAUGCUCGAACAAAAGAAGCUAGUGAAGCGAAAUACAUAUCAAUAUUAAACAUCAUUCAAGGAGAAGUUGACCCUACUCAGGUUCAUGAAAGUUUGCAGAGGAUACGUGAAAGAAAGCUUGUUAACUUUAUUGAGUGGGGCCCUGCAAGCAUUCAGGUUGCUUUGUCUAGAAAGUCUCCAUAUGUGCAAACGGCCCAUAG